GAAUAGCAGCCUUGGGGAAAGUGAGCAGAUGCUUCAUCUCUGCAUGUAGAUACAGCUACAACCAGAAUCCAGUAGUGUAGCCAGCUUACGCUGCAUACAACAGCUUCUGUGUGCUAACAACAAGUGCUUUCUAAACCUAGAAGUGUCAUCUCCCUGUAAGAACUGGGAAAAUGGAGGCAUGGAGAACACUGGAAGCUGCCCAUGGUCACACAACUGCUACUAAAACACUGAGCCUUUGCAUCAUGGUCCCUGAAAGCAGUGGAUCAUGGCACACGUCUUCUAGCCCACGUGACAAAGGCUCUAGCCAAAAGGACCAGAUGGAAUGGAUUUUUCAGAUUUCCAGAAUGAAGCCCCACAACCACUGGACUUAAACUCACUGACUUGGAUGCAAGAACUCUCUUGUUGUCCCCGCUCUUUAGGCUUUUGAGCAAGAGGAAACACAACAGGCCAAAAUCUUUGUGGGUCUUGCUUGCUAAAGACAAUAUCUUCCUCAAAUCCUGAUGGACUAAGUAGAAAGCAGAGGUUAAUCUUGAAGGCUAUUGAACAUUCACAUCGCAGACGUAUGGUUCUACUGAUGGACUUCAACAACUCGAUGUACCCGUGGGUCUUGUCUUUUAGAACUCCUCAAGAGUCAACUCUGCAUGUUUGCGAUGAAGAAGAUGCUGUUAAUUGAACUGGGGAAGCUGCUCUCGCAUUGCAGCAAACAAAAAGCUCAGUUUCAAAGGACUAUAGUGGCUUCCUGGCCAUGCAUUAACGGCAAGCCUUGUCAGAUAUGGGCACACAAAAGCAGCUCAGACUGGUGGGAAAGAAGAGUCAUGUUGACAUGAAAUGCUGACCAAUGGCUGGAAACAUUCAGAAUAAGCAAAAAGAUGUUCUUCCACA
This 882-nucleotide long non-coding RNA is filed under the name Crocodylus porosus (Australian saltwater crocodile). RNAcentral's name for it is "lncRNA (ENSCPRG00005006980.1)". Lineage: Eukaryota; Metazoa; Chordata; Crocodylia; Crocodylidae. The record is from RNAcentral.